This 464-nucleotide ribosomal RNA is filed under the name uncultured bacterium. RNAcentral describes it as "bacterial SSU rRNA". It matches the Rfam family "Bacterial small subunit ribosomal RNA", at positions 917 to 1382 of the family's 1533-position model. The record is from RNAcentral.
GGGACCGCACAAGCGGCGGAGCAUGUUGCUUAAUUCGAUGCAACGCGAAGAACCUUACCUAGGCUUGACAUGUACGGAAAAGCUACAGAGAUGUGGUGUCCUUCGGGGCCGUAAACAGGUGGUGCAUGGCUGUCGUCAGCUCGUGUCGUGAGAUGUUGGGUUAAGUCCCGCAACGAGCGCAACCCUUGUCCGAUGUUGCCAGCGGGUAAUGCCGGGAACUCGUCGGAGACUGCCGGGGUCAACUCGGAGGAAGGCGGGGAUGAGGUCAAGUCAUCAUGCCCCUUAUGUCUAGGGCUGCAAACGUGCUACAAUGGCUGGUACAACGAGUCGCAAAACCGUGAGGUCGAGCCAAUCUCUGAAAGCCAGUCUCAGUUCGGAUCGAAGUCUGCAACUCGACUUCGUGAAGUUGGAGUCGCUAGUAAUCCCGGAUCAGCAUUGCCGGGGUGAAUACGUUCCCGGUCCUU